AGACCCGAAACCCGGUGAUCUAGCCAUGGGCAGGUUGAAGGUUGGGUAACACUAACUGGAGGACCGAACCGACUAAUGUUGAAAAAUUAGCGGAUGACCUGUGGCUGGGGGUGAAAGGCCAAUCAAACCGGGAGAUAGCUGGUUCUCCCCGAAAGCUAUUUAGGUAGCGCCUCGUGAAUUCAUCUCCGGGGGUAGAGCACUGUUUCGGCUAGGGGGCCAUCCCGGCUUACCAACCCGAUGCAAACUGCGAAUACCGGAGAAUGUUAUCACGGGAGACACACGGCGGGUGCUAACGUCCGUCGUGAAGAGGGAAACAACCCAGACCGCCAGCUAAGGUCCCAAAGUCAUGGUUAAGUGGGAAACGAUGUGGGAAGGCCCAGACAGCCAGGAUGUUGGCUUAGAAGCAGCCAUCAUUUAAAGAAAGCGUAAUAGCUCACUGGUCGAGUCGGCCUGCGCGGAAGAUGUAACGGGGCUAAACCAUGCACCGAAGCUGCGGCAGCGAACGUAUCACCCAAGACAACUUUACGGAGUUGACGAUUGACGGAGCGAAGCGACGUCAAAGCGUUCAUUAAAGUCGAGUUGGCUUAGGGAUACGUUCGUUGGGUAGGGGAGCGUUCUGUAAGCCUGUGAAGGUGUGUCGUGAGGCAUGCUGGAGGUAUCAGAAGUGCGAAUGCUGACAUAAGUAACGAUAAAGCGGGUGAAAAGCCCGCUCGCCGGAAGACCAAGGGUUCCUGUCCAACGUUAAUCGGGGCAGGGUGAGUCGACCCCUAAGGCGAGGCCGAAAGGCGUAGUCGAUGGGAAACGGGUUAAUAUUCCCGUACUUGGUGUUACUGCGAAGGGGGGACGGAGAAGGCUAUGUUGGCCGGGCGACGGUUGUCCCGGUUUAAGCGUGUAGGUGUGUGUUCCAGGUAAAUCCGGUUCACUUUAACACUGAGGCGUGACGACGAGGCACUACGGUGCUGAAGCAACAAAUGCCCUGCUUCCAGGAAAAGCCUCUAAGCAUCAGGUAACACGAAAUCGUACCCCAAACCGACACAGGUGGUCAGGUAGAGAAUACCAAGGCGCUUGAGAGAACUCGGGUGAAGGAACUAGGCAAAAUGGUGCCGUAACUUCGGGAGAAGGCACGCUGACACGUAGGUGAAGUGAUUUACUCAUGGAGCUGAAGUCAGUCGAAGAUACCAGCUGGCUGCAACUGUUUAUUAAAAACACAGCACUGUGCAAACACGAAAGUGGACGUAUACGGUGUGACGCCUGCCCGGUGCCGGAAGGUUAAUUGAUGGGGUCAGCGCAAGCGAAGCUCCUGAUCGAAGCCCCGGUAAA
RNAcentral lists this ribosomal RNA (1320 nucleotides) under Salmonella enterica. RNAcentral's name for it is "partial 23S ribosomal RNA". It matches the Rfam family "Bacterial large subunit ribosomal RNA", at positions 711 to 1927 of the family's 2925-position model. The record is from RNAcentral. Lineage: Bacteria; Pseudomonadati; Pseudomonadota; Gammaproteobacteria; Enterobacterales; Enterobacteriaceae. RNAcentral also lists the same sequence under 1 other name.